GCUAGCUCUGAACUUGAGCGGCUGUUGUGCUGUUCUUGCGCAUGCUCCUGCUUAGAAAAACAAAAACGCACGUGAGGAUCGCGCGUGGACCGGACUGACUCGUCAUCUGACUGUUGUGGACAACGUCCAGCUCUUCAUCCGAUAACCAGCGUCUUCCCCUCUGACCCUGAGCCUCUGGAGGUCAAGUAGAGGAGGGUCAGUGUGGAGCCUUCAGGAAAGACCGGUGCCUUUAAACAGCAGCGCAGUGAAAGCAGAUGCUCACUUUACAACUGCCCUCUGGCGGCCGUGCUUAUAGGCGCAUAUAGAGACGGACGCCACACAGCCGUCAGCGCUGAGCAGCGGAAAACGGCAGAAAACGUGGCGUCGUGGAGACGGUGCUGCAGAUGAGCUACGCUCCAGGUCCAGAGGGAGGAUGGAGUCACAGCAGCACCAAGGACCGGCGUCCAGCGUUUUAUGGCACGCGCUGGCCUCUGUCUGCUCACAACCACAGUCAUAACGCAGACCUGAGCCCAGUCAGGGACCAGGCUCCAUUUUAAGUUCUGUGCCAUUAGUGGCUCCGAGCAGCGAAGAUUAGACGACCGGUCCAACCUAAAGGUCAGAAAGUGCAUUCACAUGCAAUAAAUUACUGAUAUCAUCACUGCCAUGGACCAGGGAGCUCCUGAAGAGCAGCCCAUUAUUUCUGGGGACAUGGAAGUGGUGCGGGUUCGGUCUGACACCACACGCCUUCACAUGACGAACAGCCAGAUAUCGAUAUGAAGCAGGAUGAGGACGGCCUGCGCUGCAGCUGCAGUCCGGCAUGACGGGUGUGGAUCUCUGGGCUCUGAAGCCACAGCAGAGCUGCAACCAAAGGAUAAGUCGACCCUGUGGGAUGAGAACGGACACAAGUACGACAUAAAACACGCGUAAACCCAAAUCAAUACACACGCAAUCAACACAGCAAUAAGUAAAUAGGUCGAGCGGAAGUCAUCAACCCAGAGCACCUGGACCUCUCAAACAUGUCAAUACAGUGCAAAUGCUCAAAUUAAAAUCCUCCAACCUGCUGUCUGUGUCCUGCAGAUAAGAUGAGGUGCGUGGUAAACAACAGCUGAUUUAACUGCUAGCACAGCGUGACCUUAGACACGGGGUCAGGGUCACCUCCUCAGCGGAGCCUUCAUCACGCAUGCACACGGCACUAAAGCGCCCUCAAACGCCACGUGAACGAACCGGCGCAGGGCUUUUUUCAGACUAAGCAGAACGUGGCGUCACUGCAGCAGCGAAGGCGCCUUGGGAGGAAUGCUUUAUGCCUCUGAGGGGUUCAGGUGCUUCAUUCACCUUGAGCUGCUGCACAGCUCCACUGGACCUUUCAUCAAACGAGACCACUGACGGAUGAAGGGUACGGACAUCUGUGUCAUAAAGUAUUUAGUGAAGACAGUCGGGGAAAAGGCUUCACAGAACACAAAUCUGCAGUAAUGUCCUAUUGGUCACAACGCAGCCGACCUUCCUGCAGGAAAAAUAAACAUCCGCUGAUGCUUAAAUAUUGAUUGAGUGAACAGUGAAAGGCAGAAUUUAAUUGUUUAACAACGAAGCUAGUGGGAGCGAUUGUCAUGUGGACUCUGAGGGCGUCAGGAGGGAGCGGUGUCUGCACUUUAAGGUGCCGUAAAGGCGCUCGUAUAGCUCAGCCUUUAUACAACCAUGCAGAGCAAUCAUCAAACUGAUGAGUCCCAGGAGACGGACGCUCACAUCAGCACCGUUAACAGCGGGAGCACACGCCUCAAAGCAGAUGCAUCUGGGCCACGAUGAUUUACAUACAAUGACCUAUUCUGGUCUUUACUGGUCAGCAAACUGCUGCAGCAGAAAACAAUUAUUAUUUAUAUCAACCCGGUGCCAAGACUUUUGAUUGAUGCCACAAGGCUCCCAGAGCAGAUUAAUGAUGGAUGUCCUGAUGCAGCAUGAGCUCAGCUGCCAGCGGCUCCUCAGGUUGUCAGUCGCUGCAUCACCUGCUUCACACGUUGCAGAAAUAAAUGGAGCUGUGUCACGUUCCCUCCUGACUGGACUGAAAUAGCUUCUACAAAUAUUGAUUUCAUGCUGUUUGACUUCGAUAAUCAUCCCUCUCACGACUGCAAGACAGUGCAAAGUUUUUAAUGGCAUUUUUGGAUGAUCACGUUCAUUAAAAUGUCCUUGACCACAUG
Long non-coding RNA from Betta splendens (Siamese fighting fish), 2168 nucleotides. RefSeq lists it as uncharacterized. NCBI's taxonomy places the organism in Eukaryota, Metazoa, Chordata, Actinopteri, Anabantiformes, Osphronemidae. The record is from RefSeq and is a predicted model, not a curated record. The transcript has 6 exons.